AUUUGAUGUUGACAUUUUUAUACAAAUUUGUAGGAUUCAGGGCAAUGCACGCAAGGCUUUCAACAAGCAAUCAGUAUACAAGAUGUCUUGUUCAAAAAGACAAUGAAAGACUCAGGGCUAAGCAUGCAAGACAUUCAACAAACAAUUGAUGUCCAAGAUGAGUUCUUCACAAAGGAAGGAUUUACAUAUACCGGCUUGCUUCUUAGUGGUCUCACAGAAAGUGAAACAUAUCAAACACAGUAUGCUAAUGCUCAGGUA
Molecule: long non-coding RNA, 258 nt
Organism: Lolium perenne
Lineage: Eukaryota; Viridiplantae; Streptophyta; Magnoliopsida; Poales; Poaceae
Source: RefSeq, a predicted model, not a curated record